RNAcentral lists this ribosomal RNA (1404 nucleotides) under uncultured bacterium. Its description in RNAcentral is "partial 16S ribosomal RNA". It matches the Rfam family "Bacterial small subunit ribosomal RNA". The record is from RNAcentral.
AGAGUUUGAUCCUGGCUCAGGAUGAACGCUAGCGGCAGGCUUAACACAUGCAAGUCGAGGGGCAGCGGGGAGGAAGCUUGCUUUCUCCGCCGGCGACCGGCGCACGGGCGAGUAACACGUAUGCAACCUGCCCCUGUCAGGGGGACAACCCGCCGAAAGGCGGGCUAAACCCGCGUACAUGCCACCGGGGCAUCCCGGAGGCAGGAAAGGCUUCGGCCGGACAGGGAUGGGCAUGCGGCGCAUUAGGCAGUAGGCGGGGUAACGGCCCACCUAACCGACGAUGCGUAGGGGUUCUGAGAGGAAGGUCCCCCACACUGGUACUGAGACACGGACCAGACUCCUACGGGAGGCAGCAGUGAGGAAUAUUGGUCAAUGGUCGGGAGACUGAACCAGCCAAGCCGCGUGAGGGAGGAAGGUACAGAGUAUCGUAAACCUCUUUUGUCAGGGAACAAAGGCGGGGACGUGUCCCCGGAUGAGUGUACCUGAAGAAAAAGCAUCGGCUAACUCCGUGCCAGCAGCCGCGGUAAUACGGAGGAUGCGAGCGUUAUCCGGAUUUAUUGGGUUUAAAGGGUGCGCAGGCGGUCUGUUAAGUCAGCGGUCAAAGCCCGGGGCUCAACCCCGGCCCGCCGUUGAAACUGGCAGUCUCGAGUUGGAGAGAAGUAUGCGGAAUGCGCGGUGUAGCGGUGAAAUGCAUAGAUAUCGCGCAGAACUCCGAUUGCGAAGGCAGCAUGCCGGCUCCACACUGACGCUGAGGCACGAAAGCGUGGGUAUCGAACAGGAUUAGAUACCCUGGUAGUCCACGCAGUAAACGAUGAAUGCUGGCUGUCCGGGGGGAUUGACCCCUGGGUGGCGAAGCGAAAGCGAUAAGCAUUCCACCUGGGGAGUACGCCGGCAACGGUGAAACUCAAAGGAAUUGACGGGGGCCCGCACAAGCGGAGGAACAUGUGGUUUAAUUCGAUGAUACGCGAGGAACCUUACCCGGGCUCAAACGGGGAGUGGCUCAGGCAGAGACGCCUGUUUCCCACGGGACACUCCCCGAGGUGCUGCAUGGUUGUCGUCAGCUCGUGCCGUGAGGUGUCGGCUUAAGUGCCAUAACGAGCGCAACCCCCGCGUGCGGUUGCUAACAGAUAACGCUGAGGACUCUGCACGGACUGCCGGCGCAAGCCGCGAGGAAGGCGGGGAUGACGUCAAAUCAGCACGGCCCUUACGUCCGGGGCGACACACGUGUUACAAUGGGUGGUACAGCGGGAAGCCAGGCGGCGACGCCGAGCGGAACCCGAAAUCCACUCUCAGUUCGGAUCGGAGUCUGCAACCCGACUCCGUGAAGCUGGAUUCGCUAGUAAUCGCGCAUCAGCCAUGGCGCGGUGAAUACGUUCCCGGGCCUUGCACACACCGCCCGUCAAG